This 445-nucleotide ribosomal RNA is filed under the name uncultured bacterium. RNAcentral's name for it is "bacterial SSU rRNA". It matches the Rfam family "Bacterial small subunit ribosomal RNA", at positions 330 to 792 of the family's 1533-position model. The record is from RNAcentral.
UCCAGACUCCUACGGGAGGCAGCAGUGGGGAAUAUUGCACAAUGGGGGGAACCCUGAUGCAGCGACGCCGCGUGAGUGAAGAAGUAUUUCGGUAUGUAAAGCUCUAUCAGCAGGGAAGAAGAUGACGGUACCUGACUAAGAAGCCCCGGCUAACUACGUGCCAGCAGCCGCGGUAAUACGUAGGGGGCAAGCGUUAUCCGGAUUUACUGGGUGUAAAGGGAGCGUAGACGGCAGGGCAAGUCUGGAGUGAAAGCCCGGGGCCCAACCCCGGGACUGCUUUGGAAACUGUGCGGCUGGAGUGCAGGAGGGGUAAGCGGAAUUCCUAGUGUAGCGGUGAAAUGCGUAGAUAUUAGGAGGAACACCGGUGGCGAAGGCGGCUUACUGGACUGUAACUGACGUUGAGGCUCGAAAGCGUGGGGAGCAAACAGGAUUAGAUACCCCAGUA